Molecule: ribosomal RNA, 253 nt
Filed under: uncultured bacterium
Lineage: Bacteria
Description: partial 16S ribosomal RNA
Rfam family: Bacterial small subunit ribosomal RNA
Source: RNAcentral
UACAGAGGUGCCGAGCGUUAGGCGGAAUCACUGGGCUUAAAGCGUGUGUAGGCGGACGUCUAAGUACCUUGUGAAAUCCCACGGCUCACCCGUGGAACUGCUGGGUAUACUGGGCGUCUUGAGCCACCUAGGGGCCAGCGGAACAAAUGGUGGAGCGGUGAAAUGCGUAGAGAUCGGAAAGAACACCAACGGCGAAAGCACUCUGCUGGGCCGACACUGACACUGAGAGACGAAAGCUAGGGGAGCGAAUGGG